GAUGAACGCUGGCGGCGUGCCUAAUACAUGCAAGUCGAGCGAACGGACGAGAAGCUUGCUUCUCUGAUGUUAGCGGCGGACGGGUGAGUAACACGUGGAUAACCUACCUAUAAGACUGGGAUAACUUCGGGAAACCGGUGCUAAUACCGGAUAAUAUUUUGAACCGCAUGGUUCAAAAGUGAAAGACGGUCUUGCUGUCACUUAUAGAUGGAUCCGCGCUGCAUUAGCUAGUUGGUAAGGUAACGGCUUACCAAGGCAACGAUGCAUAGCCGACCUGAGAGGGUGAUCGGCCACACUGGAACUGAGACACGGUCCAGACUCCUACGGGAGGCAGCAGUAGGGAAUCUUCCGCAAUGGGCGAAAGCCUGACGGAGCAACGCCGAGUGAGUGAUGAAGGUCUUCGGAUCGUAAAACUCUGUUAUUGGGGAAGAACAUAUGUGUAAGUAACUGUGCACAUCUUGACGGUACCUAAUCAGAAAGCCACGGCUAACUACGUG
RNAcentral lists this ribosomal RNA (497 nucleotides) under uncultured bacterium. RNAcentral describes it as "partial 16S ribosomal RNA". It matches the Rfam family "Bacterial small subunit ribosomal RNA", at positions 28 to 507 of the family's 1533-position model. The record is from RNAcentral.